UACGUAGGUGGCAAGCGUUGUCCGGAUUUACUGGGCGUAAAGAGCGCGCAGGCGGUCGUUCAAGUCGCGUGUGAAAGCCCCCGGCUCAACUGGGGAGGGUCACGCGAUACUGAUCGACUGGAAGGCAGGAGAGGGUAGUGGGAUUCCCGGUGUAGUGGUGAAAUGCGUAGAUGUCGGGAGGAACACCAGUGGCGAAGGCGACUACCUGGCCUGUUCUUGACGCUGAGGCGCGAAAGCUAGGGGAGCAAACGGG
This 253-nucleotide ribosomal RNA is filed under the name uncultured bacterium. Its description in RNAcentral is "partial 16S ribosomal RNA". It matches the Rfam family "Bacterial small subunit ribosomal RNA", at positions 524 to 776 of the family's 1533-position model. The record is from RNAcentral.